AGUACAUGCACUGAAGAUGAUUUGAACAAUAUUAUGGAAUUAUGUAAUUUCGCUUUAGGAAUUCAGUCGGUUAUUAGCUUCAGAGUGGAUUUCUGUACGACAAAAGAAAGGAAAAUAAAAUACACAACAGCUGAAAUUGUUAGCAUGUAUGUAUCUUGCUCAAAAUAUUUAACACAAGUAUAUCUCGCUAUAACAUCCUAUUUGAAUAAGAAUAUUUCUGCGUUAAGCGAAAGUACAUUAUGUGAGUAUAACAAUUAUAUUAUAAAUAGGUUAUUAUAACCCUAGAUGUCCAAGUUAAACUAAAGUUUAAC
Molecule: long non-coding RNA, 311 nt
Filed under: Androctonus crassicauda
Lineage: Eukaryota; Metazoa; Arthropoda; Arachnida; Scorpiones; Buthidae
Source: RNAcentral